UCAGCCUCUCCCCUUCCUCCUUGCGGGGACUAGGGGGCUCAAGUCCUUGGCAGGAGAGGGUGCAAAUCAAGACCUGGAGCUCAGUUCAGUGCAGAUUCCUAUUUGCCUUUUUUUAUUCUCCUGGCAUCCUCAGACUAUCUUCCUCCCCUCACCCCCUCCCACCUAGGGUGCUAUAAAAAAUGCAAAUCAGUAGGAUUUUAAAAUUCAAGCCUAUGCCAGGAACACCCACAAACCCUCUAUUAAGGCAGAUCCUGAGGUGGGUGGUGUGGUCCCAGAUUCCAAGCAUAAAAAGAGGACUCUAUUAGAUUCUUUUUUCAGCAUGGGCCUUGGACUUCAGACAUGAUCUGUGAUGACUUCAGACAUGAUUUGUGAUGACCUUGACCUUUCUGAUCUUGGACAAAUGAAUGGGAAGAGUCAGAAUUAUAUAUGCGUGGGCUGGGCCUGACCAUCCCAAACUGACACGGGAAGCACGGGAGAACCAGCAUGGGAAGGGCCAGGAUGGAGACUCCUCUGUCCCUCACCUAAGCAGCAUUUCUCUGGAUAACUUUCCCAUCUGAGUGUCACCACAAAAAGGGCUUGAAGAGGAAGUUCCAGAGAAGUGACCAUUGACCUGAGAAGGCAGACGCUGGAGUGGGACAGGAAGAGCGCCUGCGAGCCUUAACCAGGAAGCAUCAGUGAGAACACCUGCUCUGCGAGCUGCCCUCCCCCCCAAACUGGCCCCAGAUACAGCUGCCAAGUUUGGAGGGGUGGGGGUGGGGUAGUGUAGAGUUUGCAGGAGCUGGACAGGAUGUCAUGGAAUCUGGAGAGCCACGGAUCCAGGUCUGCUGUUGAGAGCCUGGGUGCCCCUGGCUCUGGAAAGAAGAAAGAAAGAAGAGGGGAGAAAAGUGAGACCGAGGAGAGGUCCACUCCAAGAGAAACUAAAAGGAACAAAAAGAGGUAGAGGCAAAGGAACAGGAAGGAAUCGGAUUGAGAGAAAGUCCCCUGAGUGCUCCCCCCAUCCACCCCGCCUUUUGGACGAAGCUGCAGCAGCGGUAGCAGAUGGUUCCAGAAAAGAAAGAAGAGGAGUAGGUCCGGUAACUGGGGUGAGUCCCGCCCCGUGGGUCCACACAGCGCUGUGCUCCGCCCAGCCUGCAGGCUUCGUUGCAGUUUGGAGCCAGAGAUCCCUAAGGUGGGUCUUUCCGUGGUACCCCAGGCGUGCUCACCGUGGGAGCCACCCCCAAGGACUGAGUUGCAGUCCACAGACUGGCUGAACCUUUUCUGGAGUUGAAUCUUCUGGGAUGGAGGCAGAAAGGGGCACCUGGCCACUAUCAUAAUCUACAAUCUUACACGGGGAGAAACACCACCAAAGGUUCCCCCACCCCUGCAGGCCUUGCUCAUUCUUAGAGCUCCGGGGCCCAGCAGUGGCAGCUAUAGAAGGCAGUGAGUAAACAAACAUUCGUGGUCCGGGGUAGAAAUA
Lutra lutra (Eurasian river otter) is the source of this 1456-nucleotide long non-coding RNA. RefSeq lists it as uncharacterized. The record is from RefSeq and is a predicted model, not a curated record. Lineage: Eukaryota; Metazoa; Chordata; Mammalia; Carnivora; Mustelidae. The transcript is spliced from 3 exons.